GAGGCCUUAGCUUAUUUAAAGUGUCUGAUUUGCAGUCAGAGGAUGUAGUGAUGAAUUUACAGGUCUU
RNAcentral lists this transfer RNA (67 nucleotides) under Crossobamon orientalis. RNAcentral's name for it is "tRNA-Ala". Lineage: Eukaryota; Metazoa; Chordata; Lepidosauria; Squamata; Gekkonidae. The record is from RNAcentral.